This 1095-nucleotide ribosomal RNA is filed under the name Triticum aestivum (bread wheat). RNAcentral's name for it is "partial small subunit ribosomal RNA". The record is from RNAcentral. Lineage: Eukaryota; Viridiplantae; Streptophyta; Magnoliopsida; Poales; Poaceae.
AUGGACUACACCAACGCCAUCCAUAUCAUCCCGGACGCCGCCGGUCCCGAAAGCUGGGCCAACUCUGCGGCGCCUCCUGGCGGGGACUCCGGGAUUUGGGCCACCGAGGACGACUACAGCCAGUGGAACGGCGACCAGGGGCUUAGCGGGGGUGGCUAUGGCGGUGACAGGAACUCGUCGCAGCCGCAUUCAAGGGCCGGCAGCGAGCAGCCGCCGCCGGGCAAGAAGCCCCGGGGCAGUGGGCCGUCGGGCGGCGGCGACGCGGGGAGCACGAGCAAGUCGCGCGCGAUUGGGAAGAUGUUCUUCAAGACGAAGCUCUGCUGCAAGUUCCGGGCAGGGACGUGCCCGUAUGUGACAAACUGCAACUUCGCUCAUGGGAUGGAGGAGCUGCGCAAGCCGCCCCCCAACUGGCAGGAGAUCGUGGCAGCACACGAGGAGGCGACGGAACAGAGAGAGGAGCACCAGAUCCCGAUCAUGACUUCGUCCAACGUGGUGCCUGGUGACAGCGUGUCUGGCAGGGCGUACAAGGGGCGGCACUGCAAGAAGUUCUACACCGAGGAGGGAUGCCCCUAUGGCGACGCAUGCACUUUCUUGCAUGAUGAGCAGUCCAAGGCGCGUGAGAGCGUCGCGAUUAGCCUAUCGCCGUCGGUUGGCGGGGGCAGCUACAACUCUGCUACUGCUGCCGCUGCCUCUCCAAAUGGACCUACAAUUCUGAAGCCGUCGAAUUGGAAGACGAGGAUUUGUAACAAGUGGGAGAUGACUGGCUACUGCCCCUUCGGUAGCAAGUGCCACUUUGCUCAUGGAGCUGCUGAACUCCACAAGUAUGGUGGGGGACUUGUCGACAUUGACGGGAGGGACAUUGCAUCAACUCCGGAUUCGAAGCAGGCUACGGCAUCUUCGAAACUUCCUGUGGAGACUGCUGCUGCAUCCACUGCGGUGCCCCCUCAUGCAGACGUGUACCAUUUAGGCAGCCAGUCACAGCGUUCCGCCUUGGCUAGCCAAAGGUCCGGGCAGCUACAGAGGCCAAUCCAGAAAUGGAAAGGCCCCGACAAGAUCAGCAGGAUCUAUGGUGAUUGGAUAGACGAAACUGACUAG